AGCAGCCGCGGUAAUUCCAGCUCCAAUAGCGUAUAUUAAAGUUGUUGCAGUUAAAAAGCUCGUAGUUGAAUUUCGGGGUUAGUAGGUCGGUCGUGCCACUGGUAUGUACUGGUCUCACUGAUUCCUCCUUCCUGAUGAACCGUAAUGCCAUUAAUUUGGUGAUGCGGGGAGACUGGACUGUUACUUUGAAAAAAUUAGAGUGUUUGAAGCAAGCUAACGCUUGAAUACAUUAGCAUGGAAUAAUGAAAUAGGACGUUCGAUCCUAUUUUGUUGGUUUCUAGGAUUGACGUAAUGAUUAAUAGGGAUAGUUGGGGGCAUUAGUAUUCAAUUGUCAGAGGUGAAAUUCUUGGAUUUAUUGAAGACUAACUACUGCGAAAGCAUUUGCCAAGGAUGUUUUCUAUUAAUCAAGA
Molecule: small RNA, 410 nt
Filed under: uncultured Glomus
Lineage: Eukaryota; Fungi; Glomeromycota; Glomeromycetes; Glomerales; Glomeraceae
Description: SSU rRNA
Rfam family: Eukaryotic small subunit ribosomal RNA
Source: RNAcentral